CCUACGGGAGGCAGCAGUAGGGAAUCUUUCACAAUGGGCGAAAGCCUGAUGGAGCAACGCCGCGUGCAGGAUGAACGCCUUCGGGUUGUAAACUGCUUUUAUAAGCGAGAAAUAUGAUGGUAACUUAUGAAUAAGGAUCGGCUAACUACGUGCCAGCAGCCGCGGUCAUACGUAGGAUCCGAGCAUUAUCCGGAGUGACUGGGUGUAAAGAGUUGCGUAGGUGGCAUAAUAAGUAGCUAGUGAAAUCUGGUGGCUCAACCAUUCAGACUAUUAGCUAAACUGUUAAGCUCGAGACCGUUAGGGGUAACUGGAAUUUCUAGUGUAGGAGUGAAAUCCGUAGAUAUUAGAAGGAACACCAAUAGCGUAGGCAGGUUGCUGGGACGGUUCUGACACUAAGGCACGAAAGCGUAGGGAGCAAACGGGAUUAGAUACCCCAGUAGUC
Molecule: ribosomal RNA, 442 nt
Filed under: uncultured bacterium
Lineage: Bacteria
Description: partial 16S ribosomal RNA
Rfam family: Bacterial small subunit ribosomal RNA
Source: RNAcentral